This 30-nucleotide non-coding RNA is filed under the name Rattus norvegicus (Norway rat). Lineage: Eukaryota; Metazoa; Chordata; Mammalia; Rodentia; Muridae. The record is from RNAcentral.
UGGUAUCGGUGCUACAAGUAAUCCCCAGGU